UUCAGACUUCACUUCAAGGAUUGUAAUUUAAAGUUCUGAAAUAGAAUUCAAAUCUGAGAUCUUGCCAAAGAUUUGGCUCAAUAUCUAAUUGGUAGUGAAGGUGCAGAUAACACUGAAAAAGCCUUGAUUACUUUAGUGAAUAGCCCUUCUAUUUCACAUAUGUUCACAUAUGCAGGGCUACUAAGCAGAGAAAUGAACACACAACUCCAACUUUAAACAUUUGUCCACAGCUUUGACUUUUUCUAUCAAUAACAAUUUCUUAAGGGGGAGAAGUUUAUUGAUUGCUGCAUAUCAAAUAACUGCAGUUUGAGGAGAGCAGUCCAUCUGCAAAAAGCUGAGAGUCACAUCUUUUAACCUAGAUACAGAAACACCUUUCCAUCUACCCUUGCUGAUACCCAGGUGUUUCCAGUUGAAGAAAGGACAGGGCAGGAGGAUGCAGCAGGUGGAUUGUCAAGCUGGCAGAUAGAUGAUCUCAGUCAAUGGAACCAGAGGGAGAGAGCUUUCAAGCUUAGUAAAAUAAAAAAAAGGGAAA
Molecule: long non-coding RNA, 532 nt
Filed under: Numida meleagris (helmeted guineafowl)
Lineage: Eukaryota; Metazoa; Chordata; Aves; Galliformes; Numididae
Description: lncRNA (ENSNMEG00000008279.1)
Source: RNAcentral